Molecule: ribosomal RNA, 460 nt
Filed under: uncultured bacterium
Lineage: Bacteria
Description: partial 16S ribosomal RNA
Rfam family: Bacterial small subunit ribosomal RNA
Source: RNAcentral
CCUACGGGAGGCAGCAGUGAGGAAUAUUGGUCAAUGGACGAGAGUCUGAACCAGCCAAGUAGCGUGAAGGAUGACUGCCCUAUGGGUUGUAAACUUCUUUUAUAUGGGAAUAAAAUGUUCCACGUGUGGGAUUUUGUAUGUACCAUAUGAAUAAGGAUCGGCUAACUCCGAGCCAGCAGCCGCGGUAAUACGGAGGGUCCGAGCGUUAUCCGGAUUUAUUGGGUUUAAAGGGAGCGUAGGUGGAUUAUUAAGGCAGUUGGGAAAGUUUGGGGCUCAACCGUAAAAUUGCAGUUGAAACUGGCAGUCUUGAGUACAGUAGAGGUGAGCGGAAUUCGUGGUGUAGCGGUGAAAUGCUUAGAUAUCACGAAGAACUCCGAUUGCGAAGGCAGUUCACUGGACUGCAACUGACACUGAGGCUCGAAAGUGUGGGUAUCAAACAGGAUUAGAUACCCCAGUAGUC